RNAcentral lists this ribosomal RNA (464 nucleotides) under Vreelandella stevensii. Its description in RNAcentral is "partial 16S ribosomal RNA". It matches the Rfam family "Bacterial small subunit ribosomal RNA", at positions 338 to 795 of the family's 1533-position model. Lineage: Bacteria; Pseudomonadati; Pseudomonadota; Gammaproteobacteria; Oceanospirillales; Halomonadaceae. The record is from RNAcentral.
CCUACGGGGGGCUGCAGUGGGGAAUAUUGGACAAUGGGGGGAACCCUGAUCCAGCCAUGCCGCGUGUGUGAAGAAGGCCCUCGGGUUGUAAAGCACUUUCAGUGAGGAAGAACGCCUGGUGGUUAAUACCCAUCAGGAAAGACAUCACUCACAGAAGAAGCACCGGCUAACUCCGUGCCAGCAGCCGCGGUAAUACGGAGGGUGCGAGCGUUAAUCGGAAUUACUGGGCGUAAAGCGCGCGUAGGUGGCUUGAUAAGCCGGUUGUGAAAGCCCCGGGCUCAACCUGGGAACGGCAUCCGGAACUGUCAAGCUAGAGUGCAGGAGAGGAAGGUAGAAUUCCCGGUGUAGCGGUGAAAUGCGUAGAGAUCGGGAGGAAUACCAGUGGCGAAGGCGGCCUUCUGGACUGACACUGACACUGAGGUGCGAAAGCGUGGGUAGCAAACAGGAUUAGAACCCGGGUAGUC